UCGAGGGGCAGCAUGAACUUAGCUUGCUAAGUUUGAUGGCGACCGGCGCACGGGUGAGUAACACGUAUCCAACCUGCCGAUGACUCGGGGAUAGCCUUUCGAAAGAAAGAUUAAUACCCGAUGGCAUAGUUCUUCCGCAUGGUAGAACUAUUAAAGGAUUUCGGUCAUCGAUGGGGAUGCGUUCCAUUAGGUUGUUGGCGGGGUAACGGCCCACCAAGCCUUCGAUGGAUAGGGGUUCUGAGAGGAAGGUCCCCCACAUUGGAACUGAGACACGGUCCAAACUCCUACGGGAGGCAGCAGUGAGGAAUAUUGGUCAAUGGACGAGAGUCUGAACCAGCCAAGUAGCGUGAAGGAUGACUGCCCUAUGGGUUGUAAACUUCUUUUAUACGGGAAUAAAGUGAGGCACGUGUGCCUUUUUGUAUGUACCGUAUGAAUAAGGAUCGGCUAACUCCGUGCCAGCAGCCGCGGUAAUACGGAGGAUCCGAGCGUUAUCCGGAUUUAUUGGGUUUAAAGGGAGCGUAGGCGGACGCUUAAGUCAGUCGUGAAAGUUUGCGGCUCAACCGUAAAAUUGCAGUUGAUACUGGGUGUCCUGAGUACAGUAGAGGCAGGCGGAAUUCGUGGUGUAGCGGUGAAAUGCUUAGAUAUCACGAAGAACUCCGAUUGCGAAGGCAGCUUGCUGGACUGUAACUGACGCUGAUG
RNAcentral lists this ribosomal RNA (699 nucleotides) under uncultured bacterium. RNAcentral describes it as "bacterial SSU rRNA". It matches the Rfam family "Bacterial small subunit ribosomal RNA", at positions 62 to 751 of the family's 1533-position model. The record is from RNAcentral.